RNAcentral lists this ribosomal RNA (375 nucleotides) under uncultured bacterium. RNAcentral's name for it is "bacterial SSU rRNA". It matches the Rfam family "Bacterial small subunit ribosomal RNA", at positions 524 to 898 of the family's 1533-position model. The record is from RNAcentral.
UACGGAGGGUGCAAGCGUUGAUCGGAAUUACUGGGCGUAAAGCGUGCGUAGGCGGCUGAUUAAGUCGGAUGUGAAAUCCCUGAGCUUAACUUAGGAAUUGCAUUCGAUACUGGUCAGCUAGAGUAUGGGAGAGGAUGGUAGAAUUCCAGGUGUAGCGGUGAAAUGCGUAGAGAUCUGGAGGAAUACCGAUGGCGAAGGCAGCCAUCUGGCCUAAUACUGACGCUGAGGUACGAAAGCAUGGGGAGCAAACAGGAUUAGAUACCCUGUGAGUCCAUGCCGUAAACGAUGUCUACUAGCCGUUGGGGCCUUUGAGGCUUUAGUGGCGCAGCUAACGCGAUAAGUAGACCGCCUGGGGAGUACGGUCGCAAGACUAAA